UAGGGAAUCUUCGGCAAUGGGGGGAACCCUGACCGAGCAACGCCGCGUGAGUGAUGAAGGUCUUCGGAUCGUAAAACUCUGUUAUUAGGGAAGAACAAAUGUGUAAGUAACUAUGCACAUCUUGACGGUACCUAAUCAGAAAGCCACGGCUAACUACGUGCCAGCAGCCGCGGUAAUACGUAGGUGGCAAGCGUUAUCCGGAAUUAUUGGGCGUAAAGCGCGCGUAGGCGGUUUUUUAAGUCUGAUGUGAAAGCCCACGGCUCAACCGUGGAGGGUCAUUGGAAACUGGAAAACUUGAGUGCAGAAGAGGAAAGUGGAAUUCCAUGUGUAGCGGUGAAAUGCGCAGAGAUAUGGAGGAACACCAGUGGCGAAGGCGACUUUCUGGUCUGUAACUGACGCUGAUGUGCGAAAGCGUGGGGAUCAAACAGG
This 429-nucleotide ribosomal RNA is filed under the name Bacteroidota bacterium. Its description in RNAcentral is "Bacteroidetes bacterium partial 16S ribosomal RNA". It matches the Rfam family "Bacterial small subunit ribosomal RNA", at positions 355 to 776 of the family's 1533-position model. Lineage: Bacteria; Pseudomonadati; Bacteroidota. The record is from RNAcentral.